This 2018-nucleotide long non-coding RNA is filed under the name Homo sapiens (human). RNAcentral describes it as "HSALNT0263803". Lineage: Eukaryota; Metazoa; Chordata; Mammalia; Primates; Hominidae. The record is from RNAcentral.
AAUUAAUCAGCAAAUCAAGAAUGUGCCCUUGUUAUUGACUGCAGAUAUAUCGUUAGGUAAACUUUUUAACUUUGAAAGUAAAUGUAAUUAAACUCUACGAAUCCUAGGUGGAAAAGGAGAAGCUUAAUUAAUGGUUCAAGGUGCAUUGACCCUGGCACUACCUUUCCUUCCAUCCAGCUGGCUUUCAUGGGGUUCUGCAGAGUGACUCUGUAGGAUACACCUGCUGACUCACCUGGCCCAGGUAUUUUUCCCUCUUCGGCUUCCAUCUGCCUCUAGGGGAGGAAGGUGAUAGUCAAGACUGAGACAAGGUAUCAGGGUCAGUGCCCGCCAGCCAUGCUCCCUGUCUAUGGAGAAAGACCCAAGAAAAAGAUUUUGGCAUGGGAUGAAUGGGGUGACUUAGAUUGUUGUAGAAGAGCAAAUUGGAGCAGGGAAGAGAGGAGGAAGAGGAAGAAGAUGUGUUUGAGGAAUGCACAGGACAUCCAUGUAGAGAAACCUGUGGACAGUUGGCUCCAUGCAUCAGAACUUCAGGGUGAGUCCUAAGUCUCAUCUCGGCAGCAUCCAUCAUCACUCAGACUCAUCCUGUGCUGCUGAUUUCAUCCUGUAAGAUGGACUGGACUGGUCCUUCAUCCCAAAGCCUUGCUCUAUGUACUCUGGAAGGCCAGCAAAGUUUCCUGUAUCAUCAACACCUUCUCAAAACAUGCCUCUUCCUUCUGGACUUAGAUGGGCCCUCCUGUAGGGCCCCCUUUCCCUCAUAGCUCUCUCAAGUGGAGGCUGUUUUUAAUUUAUUUAUUUUUCCUGUAUCCAGCACAAGUUCUUUGGGGUCAGGAAGUGGGGUCUGUGUUUUUAAUUACGAUUUCCACAUUCCAGUCAUUUUUCCUGUAAGCCCCAGUGUCUCUGAGGAUUAUUCCGUCUGUCCCGCUUCCCCUCUUCCUCAUUGUUGUAAUUCACCAACAUCCUCAACACUUUCUGUCAUUCACCAAAGAAGGGAGCUCCUGUUUUCAGUCUUCUCCUGUCAACAUUAGCUUCAUUCUGAAUGAUUUUCUUGUCCAUAUGGAGGAAUCAUCGACCACUGUGGAUCCUCAUUUUCUUGACUUACUCAUCUCCAAAGACUUCUCCAUUUCAACUCGCACGUCCAUUCCUACAGUCAAACCCUACAUCAAAAGUUCUGAAAUGGCAAUUUCAAACAUCCCACUCUCCAACCACCACUUCCUGUCAAGUACUCCACUGAAACUAUCUUUUGACUUUAUUGAAACCUUUCAACUUUUAGUCUUCAUUGCUUACCAUUGUCUAGAGCUACUGCAUAUUUAUUCAGGUCAUAGGCUUUGGAAUUAGGAUGCCAGGUUAAUUUGUUGGGGGAGGCCACCAAGAUGUGGAUAUAUCAUUUAAAAAAUAAAUCUAGGUUCCAGAAUUCAUCUUGGUGGUUGGGAAAUGUGAGUGUGGGCUCUGCAGAGAAAUGGGCAUCAAUAGGUUGUUUUUACCAUAGCCAUGGAAGGAAAGCAGGAGAAGUGCUGGAAUCCAUCCCUCACAUAUUUCCCUCACCACUUAUCAUCUGUCUGCAGUGCCGUUUGGCUCAGUCACUUAGCACUUAAUCAGGUACUCUUUAAUUUUUCACAUCUGUCUGUCUGGAGCCUAGAAUGUGGUCAUAGAAAGCUCUUUGGGUCUGUAUUCAAAACAAUGGAAUUCAGACACAACUUACUUCCUGUAAGGUCUUGAGCAGGUCAUUUAACUGCACCUGAAAAUGAAAAUAACUGUCCCCACCUCAACCAGUUGUUGUAAGGAUUAAUGAGAUAAUAGAUAUAAAAGCAUUUGAUAAGCUUUAAAAUGUUUUAAGAACAUAAGGUCUACUAUCUUCCAGUGAUAAUUGAGAAUAGUAAUUGUGUGUUCCUUGUUUGCUUCAUUAGGCAAGGUGAUCAAAAAUAUUUGUCAAAUGAAUGCAUAAAUUAAUGAAUGAAUGAGAAGUGAGUGAGUGAAUGGACAAGUGAAAAAAUCAAUAAAUGCCUAAAUGCAAUCUAAGUCUC